Molecule: non-coding RNA, 2085 nt
Organism: Phalacrocorax carbo (great cormorant)
Lineage: Eukaryota; Metazoa; Chordata; Aves; Suliformes; Phalacrocoracidae
Source: RefSeq, a predicted model, not a curated record
CAACAGUUUUUUGACAUCCUUUUGUGAAGACUGGUGCUGCAUUGGGGAAGACAGAGUACAUUUAUAUACUUGGGAGAAGGGGAUAUGAAUAACUGAAAGUGCCCAGGCUUUUGACACACUCUUCCUUGUUAGUUCCCUGACCCGCAGAGAUGGACAGUGGUCAAGGUACUGUAGAUUGUGUUAUGACACCAGGUUAACCUUUGGUCCUCUCCUGUUCAUUCUCAGAAAUGUACAGUGGUGUCUCCCUGAACAGAGGAGGAAAGGAGGUGCUUGGUCACAGCUCUGGCUUUUAUCACCCCUGCCUCUCCCAAGAGAUCCCCUGUAGCACUGUCCCACCGGAGUUUGCCUGGAGUGGCCAAGUUCAGAUUUUCAUCCAGAAAGCCAGAAGUCUUCAAAUAACAGGUUAAUUAUGCCAAGAUUUGGGCCAUGAAGACUGCAGAGGAGAGAAAAGGAAGAGAAAGUGUCUACAGCACUCACCAAAGACAAGGGAAAAUCAGGCCCAGAGUGGAGGGUCUUGGAGUAGCAGAGGUCUGCAACCUACCGGGAGUGGAGAGACGAUGUGCUCCUGCCGGCUGCCUUACCCACAAGAGACACGCCACCCAGCUCUAAGCUAAUUGUAUAAUAUAAAAAUCCUUUCAAGAUGAUUUACCUAAACAGAUAACUCGGAUAGCUCUAUUCAUGGCUAGAGCAUUCCUGAUAAAUGAGAAAGGAUAACUACAUUUUUUUUUAAGAUUUUUUCCUGUCUGCAUGUAAGAUACAGUUUUUCUAGCAGAUUCCUAUCCUUGGAAUACAUUUCUUGCUGUGAGGGCCAGUGCUGAGGCAAAGGUAGUAGAUUAUAGCUUUCUGUCAUCAAGUACCAUUUGUUUCUACUAGCUUCAACAGAAAUGCCACCCCAAAAAAUCUCCUCACCUAGGUUUAAUUGUGAAAAAAGUCCCCAAAUCUUUCUCAUUUUGUCCUAAUCUUGGUUUACUUCUGAGAUUAUUUACUAUUAACUGCAGUAGGAGAAGGAUUUCACAAGCUCAGAUUUGUCCUUUUCAGAAAGCAUGUUAAAUUAAAACAUAUCUAUGUAUGAAUGUGUAUAUAAUAUCUGUACAUAAAGCCUUAUACAUAUGGUAAUGUGUUUUAGAAUACUUUGAGUGAGAGCCUGGAUGGAUGAACCACUUGUGAAUAUGGGCAUAAAUUGCUCGGUGCUUCAGAAAAGGUGUCUGGGGCAAGUGAGAGUGCUGAAUACUCUCAGUAACUCACGGCACUGUCAGGAUGCUACAAAUGUGAAUAGUGCCAGUACAUCCAAGCUGAGAACAGCUAUUCUUUUUUAAUCAUUUACUACACCAUGCUACAGGAAGCCAGCUUACACGUUGUCAUGGUUUUAGCUGGGAUGGAGUUAAUUUUUUUCACUGCAGCUGGCAUAGUGCUGUGCUUUGGACUUAGUAUGAAAAUAGCAUUGAUAACACACUGAUGCUUUGGUUGUUGCUGGGCAGUGCUUGUACUAGUCAAGGGCUUUUCCAGCUUCCCGUGCUCUGCCAGGUGCACAAGAAGCCGGGAGGGGAGGGGGCACAGCUGAGAGAGCGGAUUCAAACUGACCAAAGGGAUAUUCCAUGUCAUGUAACGUCAUGCCCAGUAUGCUACCUGGGAGGGGCUGGCCGGGGGAGGGAGGCAGUAAUUGUGGCUCGGGGACCGGCAGCAUUGGUUGGCGGGUGGUGAGCGGUUGUAUCAUUUGUGUUUCUGUGUUUUUCCCUUUUUCCUUUUUAUUUUGUUAUAGUUGUUGUUGUUGUUAUAAUGAUUAUUAUUAUUUUAAUUAUUAAACUGUUCUUAGCUCAACCCACAAGUUUUUUUUUAUUCUGCGUUUGCUCUUCCAAUUCCCCCCCGUCCCACAGGGGUGGGGGGAGUGAGCGAGCGGCUGCGUGGUGUUUAGUUGCCGACAGGGGCUGAACCACGACACACGUUUUCAUAGCAGAGCAUGUGCCCACAGUGCAGCAUAGAAAGGCACAAACCCCUCAAGGGUGUGGAACUAGGGGGUUGAAAAGGGAAAUAUUUUGCGGAGAGUAUCUGUGGGGAGCGAGGUGUCCUGCAGCAAGAUCAGAAGGU